RNAcentral lists this ribosomal RNA (253 nucleotides) under uncultured bacterium. RNAcentral describes it as "partial 16S ribosomal RNA". It matches the Rfam family "Bacterial small subunit ribosomal RNA", at positions 524 to 776 of the family's 1533-position model. The record is from RNAcentral.
UACGGAGGGGGCAAGCGUUGUUCGGAAUUACUGGGCGUAAAGGGCGUGUAGGCGGAUCUGCCCGUCAGAGGUGAAAGCCCCGGGCUCAACCUGGGAACGGCCUUUGAUACUGCAGAUCUAGAGUCCGGGAGAGGAUCGUGGAAUUCCCAGUGUAGAGGUGAAAUUCGUAGAUAUUGGGAAGAACACCAAUGGCGAAGGCGGCGAUCUGGACCGGUACUGACGCUGAGGCGUGAAUGCGUGGGGAGCAACCAGG